RNAcentral lists this ribosomal RNA (94 nucleotides) under Mustela putorius furo (domestic ferret). Lineage: Eukaryota; Metazoa; Chordata; Mammalia; Carnivora; Mustelidae. The record is from RNAcentral.
GUCUACGGCCAUACCACCCUGAACGCGCCCGAUCUCGUCUGAUCUCGGAAGCUAAGCAGGGUCGGGCCUGGUUAGUACUUGGAUGGAGUGGAUU